This 449-nucleotide ribosomal RNA is filed under the name uncultured bacterium. Its description in RNAcentral is "bacterial SSU rRNA". It matches the Rfam family "Bacterial small subunit ribosomal RNA", at positions 330 to 794 of the family's 1533-position model. The record is from RNAcentral.
GCUAGACUCCUACGGGAGGCAGCAGUGGGGGAUAUUGCACAAUGGGGGAAACCCUGAUGCAGCGACGCCGCGUGGGCGAAGAAGUAUUUCGGUAUGUAAAGCCCUAUCAGCAGGGAAGAAGAAAUGACGGUACCUGAGUAAGAAGCACCGGCUAAAUACGUGCCAGCAGCCGCGGUAAUACGUAUGGUGCAAGCGUUAUCCGGAUUUAUUGGGUUUAAAGGGUGCGUAGGCGGUCCGGAAAGUCAGCGGUAAAGGCCCGGGGCCCACCCCCGGCGAGCCGUUGAAACUGUCGGACUAGAGACGGCGAGAAGUACGCGGAAUGCGCGGUGUAGCGGUGAAAUGCAUAGAUAUCGCGCAGAACUCCGAUUGCGAAGGCAGCGUACCGGCGCCGGACUGACGCUGAGGCACGAAAGCGUGGGUAUCGAACAGGAUUAGAUACCCGUGUAUAA